RNAcentral lists this microRNA (24 nucleotides) under Haemonchus contortus (barber pole worm). RNAcentral describes it as "hco-miR-5887". Lineage: Eukaryota; Metazoa; Nematoda; Chromadorea; Rhabditida; Trichostrongylidae. The record is from miRBase by way of RNAcentral.
UUACCUGAUGGUGUAGCAAAGGGA